RNAcentral lists this ribosomal RNA (454 nucleotides) under uncultured bacterium. Its description in RNAcentral is "partial 16S ribosomal RNA". It matches the Rfam family "Bacterial small subunit ribosomal RNA", at positions 28 to 507 of the family's 1533-position model. The record is from RNAcentral.
GAUGAACGCUGACAGCAUGCUUAACACAUGCAAGUCUACUUGAACUUCGGUUUGGGUGGCGGACGGGUGAGUAACGCGUAAAGAACUUGCCUCACAGUUAGGGACAACAUUUGGAAACGAAUGCUAAUACCUGAUAUUAUGAUUUUAGGGCAUCCUAGGAUUAUGAAAGCUAUAUGUGCUGUGAGAGAGCUUUGCGUCCCAUUAGCUAGUUGGAGAGGUAACGGCUCACCAAGGCGAUGAUGGGUAGCCGGCCUGAGAGGGUGAACGGCCACAAGGGGACUGAGACACGGCCCUUACUCCUACGGGAGGCAGCAGUGGGGAAUAUUGGACAAUGGACCAAAAGUCUGAUCCAGCAAUUCUGUGUGCACGAUGACGUUUUUCGGAAUGUAAAGUGCUUUCAGUUGGGAAGAAAAAAAUGACGGUACCAACAGAAGAAGUGACGGCUAAAUACGUG